UGUUAUUAGACAUCAGUGUGCCGUUACCGACAGAGCGAAACUGCCUUUGCUUCGGGAGGGCCUCUCUGCUCCGGCUGGAGAAAACUGGAGAAGGAGGAACCACCGUGGACGUGGGCUGGGGAGGGGGCAGGGUGUCAGCGAUGGAAACGGCUCCUGCGGAGGAAGCAAGCUGAUGGCAGGCGAGCGCCCCAGGGAGGCAAGCCGAGGGAGAGCGGAGGCACCAGUUCCUGAGCAUUUCCUAGAAAACUACUCUUCGGUUUUCUGUCAAAACAGAGAGUAGCAGUGGAGGGACCAGCCCCAGAGGACCUCUUCGGCGAAAGAAACUCUGACUUUGGGAGGACUGUGCUGUCUGCUCACUUUUGCCAGAUUACUGCUACAUCCAACUCCAGCUCCAAGUUCAUGAAUUCAAGCGAUAGCUCUGCUGAUAAAUUCUUCAGUGGGUUUCACGUACCGUCUUUCUUCCAGCCUCCACAUACGGUACUCGGGGAAUGGCUGAACUCUGCCGCGGUUCAAAUGCAGGCUACUGAGCGGGCACAGAGCCUCCUCUGGCGGAGAACUGAGUGCAAGCAAAUACGAAGAUGCUCACAUCUGAAACAGAGGCUUUACAUGUGCUUUGGAGCUCCUGCCCACACAUGAACCACAUGCCCAGCUAGCGGUUGCUCUCUGAACUUGCAGCCCAGGAUGAGAAGCGAGGUGAGGCCAACAGAACCCUACUGGCACCCAGAUCCCUGGGUGAGAUAAAGGUUUUUCUGCUGUGAG
This 759-nucleotide long non-coding RNA is filed under the name Felis catus (domestic cat). RNAcentral describes it as "lncRNA (ENSFCAG00000046432.2)". The record is from RNAcentral. Lineage: Eukaryota; Metazoa; Chordata; Mammalia; Carnivora; Felidae.